Molecule: long non-coding RNA, 2606 nt
Organism: Lagopus leucura (white-tailed ptarmigan)
Lineage: Eukaryota; Metazoa; Chordata; Aves; Galliformes; Phasianidae
Exons: 3
Source: RefSeq, a predicted model, not a curated record
UUUCUUACUCACAAAUGUUUUACAGCUUUCCAGUAUCUGUCUUCACUCAGCUCAUCCGCCCACAGUCUUCAGCCUUGCAUGACUCCUGUUGUGAAACUAUCUGCCACCAGCACAAGGAAAUCAGAACACAGACAUCACUCAUGCAGUAGUUUUCCACUCAUCGUAUUCCAAGACAGUUCAGAAGCUCACAGCAAUUAAUGUCAGCUUGAGAACAAAGUUGAACCCUCCAAACACUGAAAACCAUGGCUCGACACCACGUUUUCCAGCAAACAGUGAGGAAACUGGACAGAGGAUGGGCUCUCGGACAGAGCUACUCGAGAUUAUCUGUGAGACUUGCAACAUACCUUGAGGAAAUUAAGCUUCAUACUCUUGGAAUGGAGGAAAUGGUGGAGGAAACAACCCUGGCACCAUGGGAAAUACUGCUGGUCAUUUGUGCUACAGUGCUGAUCAUGAGCUUCCUUAUGGUCCUCCCCCCUGCAGUAGUGGUGAUCUGGCGGAUGAAGCGUGUGCCUCAGAUCUCACUGCAUGGCUCAGUGUAAGCCAGACACACAUUCUUUCAAAGGCUGCUUCAGAACUAUGAAAUCUGUCAGGAUCACCCUUUCUGCUCAAGGUCCAUCCCAAACUCACUGUUUUGCCACUCCGUGUUAAGUCCCAGUAAAAAGAGAAUGUGUCAAAUUUUCUUCUCAUUUGAUGCAGCGCUUUGCCUUCUGUUUUCUGUCUACACCAUACUGCUAUUGGUAAUGUAAGUAAUAUAGAUACUUAAUUCCUACGUUGUCGUCAUCUCUUUCACUAUAAUGAAGUGAAAACAAAAACAGAACUCCUUAUUGAAAAGUAAGACUGUACAGUAUUGUAUUCCCUUAACUAAUAACCAGUAAAGUCUGCCUCUCCAUUGUUAAACUGCAAAUAUUACAAAGCCUUUGAUAUCAUUGACAAGUUGUGGAUGUAUCAAAGCAAGCAAUAUAGUCUGGGGAACUGGUUUAGUCUGGUUGUACUGUGAAACCUACAAAAAUGUGGAACGGUGCAAAAAAGAAGCAUCUUGUUCUUAUUUUUGUGAUUUGAAAUUGUUGGCAUAUAAUGUUUCUUGUUGCUUUACUGCAAUAUGAAUAUUCUUCUCUUUGCUAAAUCUUGAGUGUCAGAAUGCAAAGCCCUUCCCGCUCCAGGGCUGGAACAAGAGGCUUAGCCCAGUGCUCAGACAUGCCCAGUCAGAUGCCAGCUCAUAGUUAAUAUAAACAUACAGCAACUAUUUCCCUAAAUUACAUUAUGCAAAUUUAGUCUGGGAAGUAAUGUCAUUAAAUUUACUUUAGUUUUUAACUGUGUUGUACAGGCUUAUUGGUUCAGCUGCCCCUUUUCACAUAUAAGUAAAAAAUUGGAUGGUGGGAAUAGAACAAAACUCUGCCAUUUUAUAACAAUAAUAAUUUUUAGCUUAAUAUCAAAUUCAUGCAAUAUCAUAUUAAAGCUUUCCAGCCUGAUCUUCCACAUUAAGUGAAGCUUAUUAGUAAGAUUUUUUAUGCAAAUAUUUAACAGUUUCUAUUACUUUACAAGAAGAAUGGGCAUGAGUUCCUUAUGAAGUCCAAUACUGUGUUUCUUUCCUUUGUUAGUUGGUUUGGAAAGUUGCUAGAUUAGCUCAAUAAAACUACAGAAAAUUGUUUUUAGUACCAGUAGAAAAAUGAUAAUGGAAAGUGCUCAGUGCUUCAGACAGAAAAUGCAUUUGAGCAUCAGCUGAUAAUGAUUUGGCUGGAAAUGAAAGACUCAAGGACAUUAUAAUUUUGUUUGAUACUGACAAUUUCUUUGUCAAAAAUAAACACCAAUCUCUGAAAAACAUUUGCUUUUCUUUAAGACUACAGCAUUUUUCUCACAAAUGCCGUGACUCAAACUACAGCCUUACAGUUCCUAUGCAGACAAAGCAGCCAACUCAUCCUUUGCUUGAUGUAAUUGCUACACUAACAAAUAGUCAUAUGACUAGCUGGUUCCGAGCCCAAAAACAACGGGAGGAUUUUUGCUUGCAAUAACUGCAUUCUAAGCCUGAAAGGCAGUGUGUAAUUUUUCCUAAAUAAUAUUACUUAAUUGAAUCAAUUAAGCAAUUAAUGGGGAUUAAGUUCAAUUAAACAUCGUGUAUACUGUAAUUGCUGUCUGUGUCUGAAAGAUUCACAAGGAUAAGGAGAAGGUAAAGAGAAAGGAAACGCGAACAGAUGGGCUGGUUGUCUUCAGACUCAUGGCUUCAAUGUUUGCUCAACAGAUGAAAAGUAAAAGAAAACCCCAAGCUCAGAUUCCACUGAAAAAACCAAGCAAGCAAUAACUAAGCUUUCUGUUUAGCUUUCAUCAUAAUUCACAUACACAUCUGCUCUGUAGCAACAGCUCCACAAAUAAACUGCAUUUCCAGUGCUAUGUUGUCCCUGGUCUUUACCCAUGUUAAAUGCCAGGUGACCAAAAACCAGGGCUUUCUGCUCUUUAUGCUUAGUUCUUUGUAUCUUUGGGUUUCCAGUGUACUCACGGGCAUUACUGAUGUGUAAGGACAUGUCAAAGAAGGAGCACUUGCAGAAGGAAGUGAAGUGGAAGCAGGAACAAAUAAUUUUAUAUUUCAUUAUAAGAAUAAAUUACAAAAAUCA